GCUCAUUAUUAACACCCGUAAUCUACCCAGUCUUCGUAUCCAAAACGGAUAUCUGCGUUAAUUUUGGAGCUAAAACGUGCACCAAAGCACCGCCAGCAAUGGUAGUGCGCACUUAUUAGUUUAAGGCCGAUUGGGGCAACCCUCUUGGUGACUCUGAAUAAUUUUGCGGAUCGCAUGGUCUUGUACCGGCGACGUACUGGUCGAGCGGGUGCCCUAUCAACUAUUGAUGGAAGUCUAUGUGUCUUCCAUGGUUGUAACGGGUAACGGAGAAUAAGGGUUCGACUCCGGAGAGCUAGCCUUAGAAACGGCUAUCACAUCCAAGGAAGGCAGCAGGCGCGUAAAUUACCCACUCUCAAUUCGAGGAGGUAGUGACUAUCAAUAACGAGACAGAUCUCUUUGAGGUCUGUCAUUGAAAUGAGCACAACUUAAAGACUUUAACGAAGUCUAUGGGAGGGCAAGUCUGGUGCCAGCAGCCGCGGUAAUUCCAGCUCCCAACGUGUAUAUCGUCAUUGCUGCGGUUAAAAAGCUCGUAGUUGGAUCUAAGUUCAUGACUGUAGUUCUCCAUGUGAGAUACUGCUAGUCUGGACUGUUUCGCCGGUUUUCCGUAGCUUCGGCUGCGGUGACUGGUGUUGUAACUUUGAUUAAAUC
RNAcentral lists this ribosomal RNA (648 nucleotides) under Pristionchus entomophagus. Its description in RNAcentral is "SSU rRNA". It matches the Rfam family "Eukaryotic small subunit ribosomal RNA", at positions 96 to 767 of the family's 1831-position model. Lineage: Eukaryota; Metazoa; Nematoda; Chromadorea; Rhabditida; Neodiplogasteridae. The record is from RNAcentral.